Molecule: ribosomal RNA, 585 nt
Filed under: uncultured bacterium
Lineage: Bacteria
Description: bacterial SSU rRNA
Rfam family: Bacterial small subunit ribosomal RNA
Source: RNAcentral
CCUACGGGAGGCAGCAGUGGGGAAUAUUGGACAAUGGGCGCAAGCCUGAUCCAGCCAUACCGCGUGUGUGAAGAAGGCCUUCGGGUUGUAAAGCACUUUAAGCAGGGAGAAAAAGUUAUAAGUUAAUACCUUAUAACCGUGAUGUUACCUGCAGAAUAAGCACCGGCUAAUUCCGUGCCAGCAGCCGCGGUAAUACGGAAGGUGCAAGCGUUAAUCGGAAUUACUGGGCGUAAAGCGCGCGUAGGUGGUUUGUUAAGUUGGAUGUGAAAGCCCUGGGCUCAACCUAGGAACUGCAUCCAAAACUAACUCACUAGAGUACGAUAGAGGGAGGUAGAAUUCAUAGUGUAGCGGUGGAAUGCGUAGAUAUUAUGAAGAAUACCAGUGGCGAAGGCGGCCUCCUGGAUCUGUACUGACACUGAGGUGCGAAAGCGUGGGUAGCGAACAGGAUUAGAUACCCUGGUAGUCCACGCCGUAAACGAUGACAACUAGCUGUUGGAAGACAACGUCUUUCAGUGGCGCAGCUAACGUUUUAAGUUGUCCGCCUGGGGAGUACGGCCGCAAGGCUAAAACUCAAAGGAAUGACGG